AUUGAACGCUGGCGGCAGGCCUAACACAUGCAAGUCGAGCGAGCGGCGGACGGGUGCGUAAUGUAUGGGGACUGCCCGAUGGAGGGGGAUAACUACUGGAAACGGUAGCUAAUACAGCAUACCAUCGGAUACCCCAUAUGGGAUUAGCUAGUAGGUGAGGUAAUGGCUCACCUAGGCGACGAUCGCUAGCUGGUCUGAGAGGAUGACCAGCCACACUGGGACUGAGACACGGCCCAGACUCCGACGGAGGCAGCAGUGGGGAAUAUUGCACAAUGGGCGCAAGCCUGAUGCAGCCAUGCCGCGUGUAUGAAGAAGGCCCUAGGGUUGUAAAGUACUUUCAGUCGGGAGGCGUUACCGGCAGAAGAAGCACCGGCUAACUCCGUGCCAGCAGCCGCGGUAAUUC
Molecule: ribosomal RNA, 403 nt
Filed under: uncultured bacterium
Lineage: Bacteria
Description: partial 16S ribosomal RNA
Rfam family: Bacterial small subunit ribosomal RNA
Source: RNAcentral